This 6533-nucleotide long non-coding RNA is filed under the name Sus scrofa (pig). Its description in RNAcentral is "lncRNA (ENSSSCG00060020265.1)". Lineage: Eukaryota; Metazoa; Chordata; Mammalia; Artiodactyla; Suidae. The record is from RNAcentral.
AGUUCCGGUUCGGCUUCUGCCGCCCCUCGGCUCCUCGCCUUCUCCCCUCCCCUCCCGCACUUUUCCUCCCUCCAGUUCCUAGGAAAGAGAAGCCAACGCUGCUGGUGGGUAGAGAAGCACUCCGCGCCUCCAGGAGGGAACUGCGCUCACCCCAUCUGAGCCCCAGGACACGGCCAGACGAGGUUACAAAAUAUCCUCCUAUGCUUGGGAACUACAGACUACGUGUCCUACAAGAACUAAUCACUGGUUUUUCAUCUCCUGGAGAUAAGUUAGAAACAUAAAUAUGGUGCCAAAAGAACUCCUUUCCUUACUCUGACCACGGUUUUGUUUGGACAUACUUUUGUAUUGAAGAAAGGUAUACAGAUUAAGGCUACUCGUGCAGAGACUUUGUCGUGUAUUAUCAUGGACCAUCCUAGUAGGGAGAAGGAUGAAAGACAACGGACAACUAAACCCAUGGCACAAAGGAGUGCACACUGUUCGCGACCAUCUGGCUCCUCAACAUCCUCUGGGGUUCUUAUGGUGGGACCCAACUUCAGGGUUGGCAAGAAGAUAGGGUGUGGGAACUUCGGAGAACUCAGAUUAGGUAAGAAUUUGGUUAUAUUAUUGGCUUAGACUAAACAACAACAAGAGCCACAGCAGCCGUAAUAUGUAAUGGUGUGUUUCCAGACAAGCAGCUUGUAAUUUUAGGAGAAACUCUUAUAGUGAGGAUCCAUUAUUAAAGGAACUAACAAAAUUGUGAAGAGGACUAUAGUCAUUAUCAGUUAUAAUUGUCAUCCAAGGUUCAUCCUUCUUUGUGUGUGAUAGGAUUGUAAGUUUUCCACCAAUUCUGAGAUUUAUGAUGAAGGCAUAUCUGCAUACAGAUUUCAGUAAAGUGAAAAUUCUGAUUUAGCUGGUUUGAGAAAUAGAGCUCUGUAUUGUCUCUUUAACAAACUCCCAGUUGAUCCAGAUGCUGUUGGUCUUUGAACCACACUUUGAGAAAGGAUUAAGGCCUUGUUUUAAUUCAGACUCUACUCCUAGUAAGGGAAGAAUAAAGCCUUAUCCAGUAAUACCCAAAUUAGUCUGCAAUGAUAUACAUCCUGUUUAGGGAGGUUUUUCCAACUGAUACUAUGUUUGCCUUUCUUCCUGGGGGUCCCAACAUAAGUACUGAGGUAGAAGUCCAUGGAGAAAUUAUUCAACUUUAUUCCCCAACUAAAGAGAGGAUUUUUAAAUUUCAAAUAUUAAUUUAUGAGCGAGAUGAUGAAUAAUAAUAGAAUCAACCAGUUUGAAGAUGUGAAAUUGGGAAGAGGGUAGAUUGGAUAUUUAUAAACUUUUUAUGGCCCUCCCUUGCUAAAUGGGGAAGAGAAAAUGAAAGGUCUUAUAAAUACAUGAAAUUGGUCAUCAGCUUGGAGAUUGUAAGGAGGUCUACUUUUUGGCGAAAAUAUUUUCUUAUUUCUCAUAGCUGUUGAGGCUGUGUAUUAUUAUGAAAAUACAGUUUAAGAGACUUUGUCCUUUAAAGGAACAGGAGCGUGAGAAAGUAAGAUGAUUAUUGUUGGUUACCUCUGCUACUUCUGAUUAUUUUCCAAAAGGUGGAAAAAAAAUCUUACCUCUGAUUCCCCCGGAGAGAGAUUCAGGGAAACAUCACUGUGCUAGACAAGAUCACUGGGUGUAGAAUUCAAUUUAGGGAUGCUGAGAAUGAAUUUGUUUUUACCACUAGAAGGCUGGCAGCCUGGAAUUUUAAGACCUGACUAGGAUAGUGAAAGGCUUUUUAUAUUUAGUGAUGUGUUCAUGUUCAGAUUAGCAAAACCCGCAGUUGCUCCUGAGAAUAGGAAUAAUUCACACUGCCUGAGUUGCUAGCAGCCGUUGAGUUGCUUUAGCAGCUAGUUUUGUGAGUAUUCCUUUAUGUAAUGGAUUGACUUUGCUCUAACAUCACAGUAGUACUUGAAUUAAAUAUAUUAUAUAUUAUGAUAUAAACAUCCACAAAGUUACUGCUGAGAGGCAGUUUAUAAUGCAUUAUAAAUUCAUGCAUUCUCAAAACAUCAUACAACAUUUUUAAUUUCCAUAAAGGUGAAGAAAAACCUUGGUCAAUGAAAAUUGGAAAUCUAUUUAAUUUAUUUGUUUAUUUAGUCUUUUUGCUAUUUCUUGGGCCGCUGCCGCGGCCUAUGGAGGUACCCAGGCUAGGGGUCUAAUUGGAGCUGUAGCCACCGGCUUAUACCAGAGCCACAACAACGUGGGAUCCAAGCUUCGUCUGCAACCUACACCACAGUUGACAGCAACGCCAGAUUCUUAACCCACUGAGCAAGGCCAGGGAUUUAACCCGCAACCUCAUGGUUCCCAGUCAGAUUCAUUAACCACUGAGUCAUGACGGGAACUCUGGAAAUCUAUUUUGUUUAAUUACUUAAGUCUAGCUUUGUCUUACAUGAUCUUUAAGUUUACAAAAAGUUUACAAAGCAAUGGAAAGAUCUAUUCAGGUAAAAGGAUAAAUUUCUAGCCCAUGUAUAUUUUUGGAGUGGUGAAGUGUUGUGUUUUAUUUCCUCUAAUGAAUCUAGGGUAAUUACGAUAGAUCUCGUUUUUAUUUGCCUCAUAGUCAGUUGAAAGGACUUGUCAUUCUUUUCAUAAGGUUUUAUUCUUGUGUUCUGAUGAGAUUUUCAUUAACCCUGGGACCAUUAUUGUUAGGGUAUUGUAUCUAGGAAUUCUUUUUAUCAACAGGGACUAGAAAAGGUACUUCUCAGAAUCAUUUUACAUCUUUCUUUUUUAAAAUUUAUUUUUAUUUUUGUCUUUUUAGGGCUGCACCUGUGACAUAUGGAGGUUCCCAGGCAAGGGGUCAAAUUGGAGCUGUAGCCGCCGGCCUACGCCAGAGGCACAGCAACACCAGAUCCGAGCCGCAUCUGCAACCACAGCUCAUGGCAACAACGGAUCCUUAACCCAUUGAGCGGGGCCAGGGAUCGAACCCGAGUCCUCAGGAAUGCUAGUCGAGUUUGCUAACUGCUGAGCCAUGACAGGAGCUCCUCAUUUAAAAUCUUUCUGACAAUGGGGUGUGCUGUAUACCCCAUUUGAUUGUUCUCUUGCUGUGAUGGAGGUAAGUAGAAGAUUCUGUAGCACCAUUCCCAGUGUAAACUGGGAAAUUUCAAACUCAAUGCAGGUGCAGAUAGGCCUUUUCCCAGGCUACCAUUACAGGGGUUGUGCUUUCUUCUCCAAAUUUCUUUCUUUCUUUAGCUACUCUGUCUCUUGUGUCCCUCAAAUAGUCAAGUGCAUUUCUUUUUUCUUUUUAAGAGCUGCACCUAUGGCAUAUGGAAGUUCCCAGGCUAGGUUAGGGGUCCAGUAGGAGCUGCAGCUGCCAGCCUAUGUCACAGACGCAGCAACACCCCAUCUGAGCCACGUCUUUGACCUACACCACAGCUCAUGGCAACGCCGGAUCUUUUAACCUACUGAGUGAGGCCAGGGAUGGAACCCACAUCCUCAUGGAUAUUAGUCGGGAUCUGAGCCACAACAGGAACUCCUCAAGUGUGUUUCUGUUUCAGAGCUUUUAUAUUUAUAGUCCCUUUGGCCUGCAGAGUUCUUUCCUCAAAAUUUUGCUUAGCUGCUUGCUUCUCAUCCCUCAGGCCUCAGCUUUUAUAUUCCUUUUUUUUUUUUUUUUUUUUUUUNCUCCCGCGGCAUAUGGAGGUUCCCAGGCUAGGGGUUGAAUCGGAGCUGUAGCCACCGGCCUACACCAGAGCCACAGCAACGCGGGAUCCGAGCCGCGUCUGCAACCUACACCACAGCUCACGGCAACGCCGGAUCGUUAACCCACUGAGCAAGGGCAGGAAUCGAACCCUCAACCUCAUGGUUCCUAGUUGGAUUCGUUAACCACUGCGCCAUGACGGGAACUCCAGCUUUUAUAUUCCUUUCUCAGAGAAACCUUCUGUGACUUUCUUCCCACCUCCAUUUAAAACACAUUUCUCCCCUAGCUACAUUCUGUCCCAUCAAACUGCUUUAAUUCAUCGCAUUGAUCACUGUCUGAAAUUAUUUUAUGUAUUUGUUUACCUAUUAAUCGUCUCUCCUUACUUGAAUAUAAGCCCUUUAGAAGGCAGGGAUUCUAUCUGUAUUACUUAGUGUUGUGAUUUGUGGGACAGGUGGGUAGACAGCCAGAUGCACUGGACGGAGGGAAAAAAAACAUAGACUCCUUUGGGUUCCUGAUGUAUGGGGAAUGUGGUAGAUAGUGGCCUUACUGUUUAGAUAAACUCUUGGAUUCUAGACAGAGAACCAAAAAGUAAUGUAAUGAUUAGUAUAUUUUGGUUCUCUGUAAAUCUAUUUCUACCUUAUCAUACAUUUAACAAGCAUUUCUUGAGUAUUUACUGUCACGUUAGACUUUAGGAAAGAUACAGAGAAUAACGUGGUGUCCUUAGGAAUCUCACAGUCUAGGGAGAGAUAAUUUAGGAGUAUGGGAUUAACAGAGACACACUACUGUAUUUAAAAUAAACAACAAGAAUUUACUGUACAGCAGUAAAUUUACAAGGAACUAUAUCCAGUAUCUUGUGAUAAUCUGAAAAGAAAUAGAAUCUGAAAAAAUAUGCAUAACUGAAUCACAUUGCUACAUGUACACCUGAAACUAACACAAUAUUGUAAAUCAAGUACAAUGAAAAAGAACCUCACAGUCUAGUAGUAGAAAGAGAAAAAUUACAACACAAAAUGUUAAGUAUUGUAAUAGAUUGUAUAAAAACUGCUGGCAGAGAAGGUUAAUGAAAGUUUCACAGAGGAGUAUUAUUUGAUUGAAAAUAGGACAGGACUUCACUGGUGAGCACCAGGAAGCCCUCUCCAUCAGCAGGAGGCACAAACACUAUGUGUUGUGAAAGUGUUUAGCAUAUUGUCAGGGCAGCGACUAGUUAGUUAUACAUGACUGGGUUAUGGGAUGUAAAGUAAAAGAAAAGUAAUAGAUGAGGCUAUUAGGUAGGUUGGGACCAGAUUGUGAACUGUUUGCAUGGUAUUAAAGCAUUUAGACUUUAUCCUGUAGGCAGUGGAGUAGAAUCAUCAAACAUUUUACAACAGGAGAGUGACAUUCUCUUGUUUGUGUUCUGAAAAGAUAAUUCCUGGUAGUGGUAAGAUUAGAUCAGAUAGGAAAGAGGUUGACAUCUUGUGGAUUUUGCUCUAAUUGUAGUAUUUGUCAUGUCGUGUCGUGGUUUUCCAUCUUUACCUCAGUGUAUGCUUGAUAGUAGUAGUUUGCUUUAUUGAUAAUCUCAUAUUCUCAUAUUUCUUCAUAUUCUUAACUCCUUUUACUCUGUAUGGCAUAUAAUGGGUACAUACAUAGUCCAAGUCAGUAGUGGCCAGGCCUGCCUUAGCUCAGAAAAUAGCAGUGAGAUGGACAGGAAUGGAUGGAUUAGGGAGAAAUUUCAGAGGUAGUCUACAGGCAGGAUUUGGUCACCAGUUAUUUUAGGAGAAGGGGUCAAAGAUGACUGAGUUUGCCAGCUUGGGAAGACCCAGUUGAUGAGGAAAACUUUUAAUAGAGACAGGAAAUGCAGAAGUUGAGUAGGUGGUGGGGAAAGCAAGUAGUUAGAGUUUGUGAAUAUAUUGACUUUGAGGACUGUGCAGCACAUAAGCGGAAAUGUGACUCUGAAAUUUAGAAAAGUUUAGGCCUCAGAUAGAGAUUAAGAAAUCAUCACUGGGAGUUCCCUUCGUGACGCAGUGGUUAACCAAUCUGACUAGGAACCAUGAGGUUGAGGGUUCGGUCCCUGCCGGUGCUCAGUGGGUUAAGGAUCUGGCGUUGCCGUGAGCUGUGGUGUGGGUUGCAGACUCGGCUCGGAUCCCGCGUUGCUGUGGCUCUGGCGUAGGCCGGCGGCUACAGCUCCGAUUAGACUCCUAGCCUGGGAACCUCCAUAUGCCGAGGGAGCGGCUCAAGAAAACGCUAAAAGACAAAAAAGAAAAAAAAAAAAAGAAAUGAUCACCAUGUAGGUGUUAAUGAGCUUACAAUCAUGGGUGACAAGAUGAUGCUUGUGGGACUGUGUGAGUGGGAGAAAGCGGGUGCAUUUAAGGGAUGCUGGAAGAGGAAGAGCCUGAAGAGUGGAGAAGUCGUAAAGUCAGAGAAGAGUUUCUAGAGGGAGAUGUUAAGUACAGCUUUGUGUCCUAAGGUUAAGCAGGAGAAGCUAUUUGAUGAUACCCUUUGGUCUUUUACUUCAUUUAUACAAUUCUGAGAGGUUUCCUUUUUUCCUUCCUUAUUGUUCUUUUUUUUUUUUUUUCUAGUCAGUACAUGUGUUUUGUAAUUGGGGGGAAAAGCAAUAAACAAAAAAUAUCUUAAAGGAACGUAUUUAGAAAGAAAAUAACAUGCUGUUGCACUAAUUUUUUUUUUUUUUUAAUUCUACUUAAAAGUGUCUUCAAACAUAACUGCUAAUUUUGGAGUUCCUUUCGUGGCUCAGUGGGUUAAGGAUCUGGUGUUGCAGUGAGCUGUGGUGUAGGUUGCAAAUGAGGUUCAGAUCCUGCGUUGCUGUGGCUUUGGUAUAGGCCGGCGGCUACAGCUCCAAUUCGACCCCUAGCCUGGGAAUCUCCAUGUGCCGAGGGAACAGCCUAAAAAAUGGCAAAAAAAAAAA